Erinaceus europaeus (western European hedgehog) is the source of this 137-nucleotide non-coding RNA. NCBI's taxonomy places the organism in Eukaryota, Metazoa, Chordata, Mammalia, Eulipotyphla, Erinaceidae. The record is from Rfam.
CCCCCUGGCAUUGUGCAAAGAGACACCUCAUUAGUGGUGUCUUAUAUCAGUUUAGGGCAGGGCAGAUGCAUUCCUUUGUUCAUCCUAGCUUGAUGCCUGGAUCAGUGGCCAGAGCUGCUUCAUGCCUGGGCACAUUA